UCCUUCCCCCUAAGAAUGGGUUGGAGAAUAUGACGGGCCGAUGCCGAGCAUUCGCGGGAUGCCCUUCGCCGGGUGUCCCGACGACUGGCCGGCGAGUUUACUUUGACAAAAUUAGAGUGCUCAGAGCAGGCUACAACACAAGUGCCUGAAUGCUUAUGCAUGGAAUAAUGGAAUAGGACCUUGGUUCUAUGUUUGUUGGUUUGUCACAGCCAAGGUAAUGACUAAGGGAGACAGUCGGGGGCAUCUGUACUGCAGCGCUAGAGGUGAAAUUCUUGGACCGUUGCAAGACAAACAACAGCGAAAGCAUUUGCCAAGUAUGUUUUCAUUAAUCAAGAACGAAAGUUAGAGGUUCGAAGGCGAUCAGAUACCGCCCUAGUUCUAACCAUAAACGAUGCCAACCAGCAAUCUAUCAAGUGUUAUAUCCAUGACCUGAUAGGCAGCUUCUGGGAAACCAAAGUCUUUGGGUUCCGGGGGAAGUAUGGUUGCAAAGCUGAAACUUAAAGGAAUUGACGGAAGGGCACCACCAGGAGUGGAGCCUGCGGCUUAAUUUGACUCAACACGGGGAACCUCACCAGGCCCAGACACCGGAAGGAUUGACAGAAUGAGAGCUCUUUCUCGAUUCGGUGGGUGGUGGUGCAUGGCCGUUCUUAGUUGGUGGAGUGAUUUGUCUGGUUAAUUCCGAUAACGAACGAGACUCUGGCCUACUAAAUAGUCGGGGGGAAGGACGUCGAGCACGCCUCUGUUUUAAUUCGCCCUGCUACURCUCUCUGUCUGUCUAGCUGGUGCUUGCUUGCUUGCUGCCUGCCACCAGUCAUCACUGCUGC
Molecule: ribosomal RNA, 824 nt
Filed under: Megalobrachium poeyi
Lineage: Eukaryota; Metazoa; Arthropoda; Malacostraca; Decapoda; Porcellanidae
Description: bacterial SSU rRNA
Rfam family: Eukaryotic small subunit ribosomal RNA
Source: RNAcentral